GGAAUCUUGGGCCCCCUGACAAAAAAUUAAAUUGGGCCCCCUGCCCCGCGCAGCUGCUGUUACAAUUUCUUGAGUCUAUCUGACCCAUCAAAAGCGUCACAAUCUCAAAGGCUUGGAACUGCCUUGCUUUCUUUGGUCCACUGCUG
Molecule: long non-coding RNA, 146 nt
Organism: Poecilia latipinna (sailfin molly)
Lineage: Eukaryota; Metazoa; Chordata; Actinopteri; Cyprinodontiformes; Poeciliidae
Exons: 3
Source: RefSeq, a predicted model, not a curated record